GUUAAGUCCCGCAACGAGCGCAACCCUCGCCAAUAGUUGCCAGCAUUUAGUUGGGCACUCUAUUGGGACUGCCGGUGAUAAGCCGGAGGAAGUGGGGAUGACGUCAAGUCCUCAUGGCCCUUACGGGCUGGGCUACACACGUGCUACAAUGGUGGUGACAGUGGGCAGCGAGACCGCAAGGUCGAGCUAAUCUCCAAAAGCCAUCUCAGUUCGGAUUGUUCUCUGCAACUCGAGAGCAUGAAGUUGGAAUCGCUAGUAAUCGUGGAUCAGCAUGCCACGGUGAAUACGUUCCCGGGCCUU
RNAcentral lists this ribosomal RNA (300 nucleotides) under uncultured bacterium. RNAcentral describes it as "bacterial SSU rRNA". It matches the Rfam family "Bacterial small subunit ribosomal RNA", at positions 1079 to 1382 of the family's 1533-position model. The record is from RNAcentral.